UGCAGUCGACGAACUCUGGUAUUGAUUGGUGCUUGCAUCAUGAUUUACAUUUGAGUGAGUGGCGAACUGGUGAGUAACACGUGGGAAACCUGCCCAGAAGCGGGGGAUAACACCUGGAAACAGAUGCUAAUACCGCAUAACAACUUGGACCGCAUGGUCCGAGUUUGAAAGAUGGCUUCGGCUAUCACUUUUGGAUGGUCCCGCGGCGUAUUAGCUAGAUGGUGGGGUAACGGCUCACCAUGGCAAUGAUACGUAGCCGACCUGAGAGGGUAAUCGGCCACAUUGGGACUGAGACACGGCCCAAACUCCUACGGGAGGCAGCAGUAGGGAAUCUUCCACAAUGGACGAAAGUCUGAUGGAGCAACGCCGCGUGAGUGAAGAAGGGUUUCGGCUCGUAAAACUCUGUUGUUAAAGAAGAACAUAUCUGAGAGUAACUGUUCAGGUAUUGACGGUAUUUAACCAGAAAGCCACGGCUAACUACGUGCCAGCAGCCGCGGUAAUACGUAGGUGGCAAGCGUUGUCCGGAUUUAUUGGGCGUAAAGCGAGCGCAGGCGGUUUUUUAAGUCUGAUGUGAAAGCCUUCGGCUCAACCGAAGAAGUGCAUCGGAAACUGGGAAACUUGAGUGCAGAAGAGGACAGUGGAACUCCAUGUGUAGCGGUGAAAUGCGUAGAUAUAUGGAAGAACACCAGUGGCGAAGGCGGCUGUCUGGUCUGUAACUGACGCUGAGGCUCGAAAGUAUGGGUAGCAAACAGGAUUAGAUACCCUGGUAGUCCAUACCGUAAACGAUGAAUGCUAAGUGUUGGAGGGUUUCCGCCCUUCAGUGCUGCAGCUAACGCAUUAAGCAUUCCGCCUGGGGAGUACGGCCGCAAGGCUGAAACUCAAAGGAAUUGACGGGGGCCCGCACAAGCGGUGGAGCAUGUGGUUUAAUUCGAAGCUACGCGAAGAACCUUACCAGGUCUUGACAUACUAUGCAAAUCUAAGAGAUUAGACGUUCCCUUCGGGGACAUGGAUACAGGUGGUGCAUGGUUGUCGUCAGCUCGUGUCGUGAGAUGUUGGGUUAAGUCCCGCAACGAGCGCAACCCUUAUUAUCAGUUGCCAGCAUUAAGUUGGGCACUCUGGUGAGACUGCCGGUGACAAACCGGAGGAAGGUGGGGAUGACGUCAAAUCAUCAUGCCCCUUAUGACCUGGGCUACACACGUGCUACAAUGGAUGGUACAACGAGUUGCGAACUCGCGAGAGUAAGCUAAUCUCUUAAAGCCAUUCUCAGUUCGGAUUGUAGGCUGCAACUCGCCUACAUGAAGUCGGAAUCGCUAGUAAUCGCGGAUCAGCAUGCCGCGGUGAAUACGUUCCCGGGCCUUGUACACACCGCCCGUCACACCAUGAGAGUUUGUAACACCCAAAGUCGGUGGG
Molecule: ribosomal RNA, 1410 nt
Filed under: Lactiplantibacillus plantarum
Lineage: Bacteria; Bacillati; Bacillota; Bacilli; Lactobacillales; Lactobacillaceae
Description: bacterial SSU rRNA
Rfam family: Bacterial small subunit ribosomal RNA
Source: RNAcentral